RNAcentral lists this ribosomal RNA (451 nucleotides) under uncultured bacterium. Its description in RNAcentral is "bacterial SSU rRNA". It matches the Rfam family "Bacterial small subunit ribosomal RNA", at positions 100 to 565 of the family's 1533-position model. The record is from RNAcentral.
GAACGGGUGAGUAACACGUGAGCAACCUGCCCUAUACAGGGGGACAACAGCUGGAAACGGCUGCUAAUACCGCAUAAGACCACAGUACCGCAUGGUACAGUGGUAAAAGGCUACGGUCAGUAUAGGAUGGGCUCGCGCACUAUUAGCUAGUUGGUGAGAUAAUAGCCCACCAAGGCGACGAUAGUUAGCCGACCUGAGAGGGUGAUCGGCCACAUUGGGACUGAGACACGGCCCAGACUCCUACGGGAGGCAGCAGUAGGGAAUAUUGGUCAAUGGAGGAAACCCUGAACCAGCAACGCCGCGUGAAGGAUGAAGGUUUUCGGAUUGUAAACUUCUGUUAUGAGAGAAAAAUAAAUGAUGGUAUCUCAUGAGUAAGCCCCGGCUAACUAUGUGCCAGCAGCCGCGGUAAGACAUAGGGGGCAAGCGUUGUCCGGAAUAACUGGGCGUAAAG